Gracilinanus agilis (Agile Gracile Mouse Opossum) is the source of this 447-nucleotide long non-coding RNA. RefSeq lists it as uncharacterized. The transcript has 3 exons. NCBI's taxonomy places the organism in Eukaryota, Metazoa, Chordata, Mammalia, Didelphimorphia, Didelphidae. The record is from RefSeq and is a predicted model, not a curated record.
AGAGGGCAGAGAAAGAAGAAAAGAAAGCAGGACAAUUAAAAAAGAAUGCUGGGGAAAAGGAGGAACAACAGAGAGCUGUUAGAGUGAAAGGAGGAGAAUUAUAAGAUAGAUCUGUUCAGGAACUGAAGAAAUUCAGGAUCUAAUGCAAGUUGAAGAAUUUUCUCAGAAACUGAUCAAACUGAUGGGGCAACGGCUAUGUGAUCUCCCAAAAGAAGAAGAAAAACUUUACUUUCUGGAAAAAAAGAAACCUUCUAGAAGGGGAAAUUUUGAUUUCCCUCCUGAAAAGAAAUACUCAGCUGACCAUACAUGUCUCCUCCUUUGUGAGGGAAGUUUAUAUAUUCUGACUUUCUUGCAUAAUGUAUACGAACCAGCUAUUUUCUCAUUUCUGAGUCUUAGACUUUAUGUACUGGGUAUGCCCUUUUGACUCUGGUGUUUAUAAUGUACAGU